UCAAGUCUAGGUGGACAUGUUUGAAUCGU
This 29-nucleotide small RNA is filed under the name Bombyx mori (domestic silkworm). RNAcentral describes it as "ovarian small RNA-24774". Lineage: Eukaryota; Metazoa; Arthropoda; Insecta; Lepidoptera; Bombycidae. The record is from RNAcentral.